Molecule: unclassified non-coding RNA, 332 nt
Filed under: uncultured fungus
Lineage: Eukaryota; Fungi
Description: partial contains small subunit ribosomal RNA, internal transcribed spacer 1, and 5.8S ribosomal RNA
Rfam family: Eukaryotic small subunit ribosomal RNA (bases 1-73)
Source: RNAcentral
ACAAACUUGGUCAUUUAGAGGAAGUAAAAGUCGUAACAAGGUUUCCGUAGGUGAACCUGCGGAAGGAUCAUUAUCGAUUCAAAACGGAUGUGCUGGCUUUUCUAAAUGGAUUAGCAUGUGCACUCCAAACCUCAUACCCUGUGCACUAUUCCCAUUGGUGAUUUGAAAUAGCUACGAGUCUGCAAAGAUUCAAAGUGAUUCAUUUUGCCUUUGGCUUUUCUAUAAACUUUGUUUUAUAUGAAUGUUAUUAUAGACUUGUAACUCAAGUCAAUAUAAUUAAAAUAACUUUCAACAACGGAUCUCUUGGUUCUCGCAUCGAUGAAGAACGCAGC